UAAGUAAGCUUUGAUCCAGAGAUUUCCGAAUGGGGAAACCCAGCAUGAGUUAUGUCAUGUUAUCGAUAUGUGAAUACAUAGCAUAUCAGAAGGCACACCCGGAGAACUGAAACAUCUUAGUACCCGGAGGAAGAGAAAGAAAAUUCGAUUCCCUUAGUAGCGGCGAGCGAAACGGGAAGAGCCCAAACCAACAAGCUUGCUUGUUGGGGUUGUAGGACACUCUAUACGGAGUUACAAAGGACGACAUUAGACGAAUCAUCUGGAAAGAUGAAUCAAAGAAGGUAAUAAUCCUGUAGUCGAAAAUGUUGUCUCU
RNAcentral lists this ribosomal RNA (313 nucleotides) under Staphylococcus aureus. Its description in RNAcentral is "partial 23S ribosomal RNA". It matches the Rfam family "Bacterial large subunit ribosomal RNA", at positions 89 to 395 of the family's 2925-position model. The record is from RNAcentral. Lineage: Bacteria; Bacillati; Bacillota; Bacilli; Caryophanales; Staphylococcaceae.